GACGAACGCUGGCGGCGUGCUUAACACAUGCAAGUCGAGCGAUGAAGCUCCUUCGGGAGCGGAUUAGCGGCGGACGGGUGAGUAACACGUGGGUAACCUGCCUCAUAGAGGGGAAUAGCCUUUCGAAAGGAAGAUUAAUACCGCAUAAGAUUGUAGUUUCGCAUGAAACAGCAAUUAAAGGAGUAAUCCGCUAUGAGAUGGACCCGCGUCGCAUUAGCUAGUUGGUGAGGUAACGGCUCACCAAGGCGACGAUGCGUAGCCGACCUGAGAGGGUGAUCGGCCACAUUGGGACUGAGACACGGCCCAGACUCCUACGGGUGGCAG
This 324-nucleotide ribosomal RNA is filed under the name uncultured Bacillota bacterium. RNAcentral describes it as "bacterial SSU rRNA". It matches the Rfam family "Bacterial small subunit ribosomal RNA", at positions 28 to 351 of the family's 1533-position model. Lineage: Bacteria; Bacillati; Bacillota. The record is from RNAcentral.